UACGAAUGGGGCAAGCGUUGUUCGGAAUCACUGGGCUUAAAGCGUACGUAGGCGGACAUGAAAGUCAGGAGUGAAAUCCCGGGGCUCAACCCCGGAAUUGCUUUUGAAACUCCAUGUCUGGAAUCCGGGAGGGGUUAGUGGAAUUCCGAGUGUAGAGGUGAAAUUCGCAGAUAUUCGGAGGAACACCAGUGGCGAAGGCGACUGACUGGACCGGCAUUGACGCUGAGGUGCGAAAGCGUGGGGAGCAAACAGG
RNAcentral lists this ribosomal RNA (253 nucleotides) under uncultured bacterium. RNAcentral describes it as "partial 16S ribosomal RNA". It matches the Rfam family "Bacterial small subunit ribosomal RNA", at positions 524 to 776 of the family's 1533-position model. The record is from RNAcentral.